This 238-nucleotide ribosomal RNA is filed under the name uncultured Lactobacillus sp. RNAcentral describes it as "partial 16S ribosomal RNA". It matches the Rfam family "Bacterial small subunit ribosomal RNA", at positions 125 to 355 of the family's 1533-position model. The record is from RNAcentral. Lineage: Bacteria; Bacillati; Bacillota; Bacilli; Lactobacillales; Lactobacillaceae.
CCGUGCCCAAGAGAUCGGGAUAACACCUGGAAACAGAUGCUAAUACCGGAUAACAACAGAUGAUGCCUAUCAACUGUUUAAAAGAUGGUUCUGCUAUCACUCUUGGAUGGACCUGCGGUGCAUUAGCUAGUUGGUAAGGCAACGGCUUACCAAGGCAAUGAUGCAUAGCCGAGUUGAGAGACUGAUCGGCCACAUUGGGACUGAGACACGGCCCAAACUCCUACGGGAGGCAGCAGCC